AUUGAACGCUGGCGGAAUGCUUUACACAUGCAAGUCGAGGGGUAGCAGGAUUAAGCUUGCUUAAUUGCUGACGACCGGCGCACGGGUGCGUAACGCGUAUGCAACCUACCUUAUACUGGGGUAUAGCCCGGAGAAAUUCGGAUUAAUCCCCCAUAGUACUAAUGAAUCGCAUGGUUUAUUAGUUAAAGCAUUGCGGUAUAAGAUGGGCAUGCGUCCUAUUAGCUAGAUGGUGAGGUAACGGCUCACCAUGGCUACGAUAGGUAGGGGGCCUGAGGCGGUGGUCCCCCACACUAGUACUGAGACACGGACCAGACUCCUACGGGAGGCAGCAGUGAGGAAUAUUGGUCAAUGGGCGCAAGCCUGAACCAGCCAUGCCGCGUGCAGGAAGAAUGCCCUAUGGGUUGUAAACUGCUUUUAUUUGGGAAUAAACCUCUUUACGUGUAGAGAGCUGAAGGUACCAAAUGAAUAAGCACCGGCUAACUCCGUGCCAGCCGCCGCCGUAA
RNAcentral lists this ribosomal RNA (503 nucleotides) under uncultured bacterium. Its description in RNAcentral is "partial 16S ribosomal RNA". It matches the Rfam family "Bacterial small subunit ribosomal RNA", at positions 30 to 523 of the family's 1533-position model. The record is from RNAcentral.